Molecule: ribosomal RNA, 501 nt
Filed under: uncultured bacterium
Lineage: Bacteria
Description: partial 16S ribosomal RNA
Rfam family: Bacterial small subunit ribosomal RNA
Source: RNAcentral
AUUGAACGCUGGCGGCAGGCUUAACACAUGCAAGUCGAGCGGGGGAAGGUAGCUUGCUACCGGACCUAGCGGCGGACGGGUGGGUAAUGCUUAGGAAUCUGCCUAUUAGUGGGGGACAACAUCUCGAAAGGGAUGCUAAUACCGCAUACGUCCUACGGGAGAAAGCAGGGGAUCUUCGGACCGUGCGCUAAUAGAUGAGCCUAAGUCGGAUUAGCUAGUUGGUGGGGUAAAGGCCUACCAAGGCGACGAUCUGUAGCGGGUCUGAGAGGAUGAGCCGCCACACUGGGACUGAGACACGGCCCAGACUCCUACGGGAGGCAGCAGUGGGGAAUAUUGGACAAUGGGCGGAAGCCUGAUCCAGCCAUGCCGCGUGUGUGAAGAAGGCCUUAUGGUUGUAAAGCACUUUAAGCGAGGAGGAGGCUACUUUAGUUAAUACCUAGAGAUAGUGGACGUUACUCGCAGAAUAAGCACCGGCUAACUCUGUGCCAGCAGCCGCGGUAA